Molecule: ribosomal RNA, 497 nt
Filed under: uncultured bacterium
Lineage: Bacteria
Description: partial 16S ribosomal RNA
Rfam family: Bacterial small subunit ribosomal RNA
Source: RNAcentral
GAUGAACGCUGGCGGCGUGCCUAAUACAUGCAAGUCGAGCGAACAGACGAGGAGUUUGCUCCUCUGACGUUAGCGGCGGACGGGUGAGUAACACGUGGAUAACCUCCCUAUAAGACUGGGAUAACUUCGGGAAACCGUAGCUAAUACCUGAUAAUAUAUUGAACCGCAUGGUUCAAUAGUGAAAGACGGUUUUGCUGUCACUUAUAGAUUGAUUCGCGCCGCAUUAGCUAGUUGGUAAGGUAACGGCUUACCAAGGCAACGAUGCGUAGCCGACCUGAGAGGGUGAUCGGCCACACUGGAACUGAGACACGGUCCAGACUCCUACGGGAGGCAGCAGUAGGGAAUCUUCCGCAAUGGGCGAAAGCCUGACGGAGCAACGCCGCGUGAGUGAUGAAGGUCUUCGGAUCGUAAAACUCUGUUAUUAGGGAAGAACAAAUGUGUAAGUAACUAUGCACGUCUUGACGGUACCUAAUCAGAAAGCCACGGCUAACUACGUG